CCUACGGGUGACAGCAGUGAGGAAUAUUGGUCAAUGGGCGCGAGCCUGAACCAGCCACGUCGCGUGAGGGAAGACGGUCCUAUGGAUUGUAAACCUCUUUUGUCGGGGAGCAAAAGACGCCACGCGUGGCGUUCCGAGAGUACCCGAAGAAAAAGCAUCGACUACCUCCGUGCCAGCGGCCGCGGUAAUACGGGGGAUGCGAGGGUUAUCCGGAUUUAUUGGGUUUAACGGGGGCGCAGGCGGAAGAUCAAGUCAGGGGGAAAAUGGGGAGGCUCAACCUCUUCGAGCCGGUGAAACUGGUUGUCUUGAGUGAGUGAGAGGUAUGCGGAAUGCGUGGUGUAGCGGUGAAAUGCAUAGAUAUCACGCAGAACGCCGAUUGCGAAGGCAGCAUACUGGCGCUCAACUGACGCUGAUGCACGAAAGUGUGGGUAUCGAACAGGAUUAGAUACCCUGGUAGUC
Molecule: ribosomal RNA, 459 nt
Filed under: uncultured bacterium
Lineage: Bacteria
Description: partial 16S ribosomal RNA
Rfam family: Bacterial small subunit ribosomal RNA
Source: RNAcentral